RNAcentral lists this ribosomal RNA (463 nucleotides) under uncultured Thiobacillus sp. RNAcentral's name for it is "bacterial SSU rRNA". It matches the Rfam family "Bacterial small subunit ribosomal RNA", at positions 920 to 1382 of the family's 1533-position model. The record is from RNAcentral. Lineage: Bacteria; Pseudomonadati; Pseudomonadota; Betaproteobacteria; Nitrosomonadales; Thiobacillaceae.
CCCGCACAAGCGGUGGAUUAUGUGGAUUAAUUCGAUGCAACGCGAAAACCUUUACCUACCCUUGACAUGCUAGGAACUUGCCAGAGAUGGCUUGGUGCCCGAAAGGGAACCUAGACACAGGUGCUGCAUGGCUGUCGUCAGCUCGUGUCGUGAGAUGUUGGGUUAAGUCCCGCAACGAGCGCAACCCUUGUCAUUAAUUGCCAUCAUUCAGUUGGGCACUUUAAUGAGACUGCCGGUGACAAACCGGAGGAAGGCGGGGAUGACGUCAAGUCCUCAUGGCCCUUAUGGGUAGGGCUUCACACGUAAUACAAUGGUCGGUACAGAGGGUUGCCAACCCGCGAGGGGGAGCCAAUCCCAAAAAGCCGCUCUCAGUUCGGAUUGCAGGCUGCAACUCGCCUGCAUGAAGCCGGAAUCGCUAGUAAUCGCGGAUCAGCAUGCCGCGGUGAAUACGUUCUCGGGGUUU